GCACCAUUGACGAGUCCUAAACAGGACGAAACUGCUGUCCAGUGC
Molecule: non-coding RNA, 45 nt
Filed under: Echinostoma caproni
Lineage: Eukaryota; Metazoa; Platyhelminthes; Trematoda; Plagiorchiida; Echinostomatidae
Source: RNAcentral